RNAcentral lists this ribosomal RNA (433 nucleotides) under uncultured bacterium. Its description in RNAcentral is "partial 16S ribosomal RNA". It matches the Rfam family "Bacterial small subunit ribosomal RNA", at positions 29 to 507 of the family's 1533-position model. The record is from RNAcentral.
AACGAACGCUGGCGGCAUGCCUAACACAUGCAAGUCGAGCGCGCCUUUCGGUUCUCGUCGCGCGCGUGUGUGUCACGUGUGGAUAUCUGCCCUUCGACUCGAUAUAACUCCCCGACUGGGGUUCUUAUACCAUAUGCUCUCUUCGGUCCAAAGAUUUCUCGCCGUUGGAUGCGCCCGCGUUGGAUUAGCUAGUUGGUAGGGUAAAGGCCUACCAAGGCGACGACCCAUAGCUGGUCUGAGAGGAUGAUCAGCCACACUGGGACUGAGACACGGCCCAGACUCCUACGGGAAGCAGCAGUGGGGAAUAUUAGACAAUGGGGGAAAGACUGAUCUAGCAAUGCCGCGUGAGUGAUGAAGGCCUUAGGGUUGUAAAGCUCUUUUAGCCGGGAAGAUAAUGACAGUACCAGGAGAAUAAGCCCCGGCUAACUCCGUG